RNAcentral lists this ribosomal RNA (433 nucleotides) under uncultured bacterium. Its description in RNAcentral is "partial 16S ribosomal RNA". It matches the Rfam family "Bacterial small subunit ribosomal RNA", at positions 29 to 507 of the family's 1533-position model. The record is from RNAcentral.
AGCGAACGCUGGCGGCAGGCUUAACACAUGCAAGUCGAGCGGGCCCUUCGGGGUCAGCGGCAGACGGGUGAGUAACGCGUGGGAACGUGCCCUUCGGUUCGGAAUAACUCAGGGAAACUUGAGCUAAUACCGGAUACGCCCUUAUGGGGAAAGGCUUGCUGCCGAAGGAUCGGCCCGCGUCUGAUUAGCUAGUUGGUGAGGUUAUGGCUCACCAAGGCGACGAUCAGUAGCUGGUCUGAGAGGAUGAUCAGCCACACUGGGACUGAGACACGGCCCAGACUCCUACGGGAGGCAGCAGUGGGGAAUAUUGGACAAUGGGGGCAACCCUGAUCCAGCCAGGCCGCGUGAGUGAUGACGGCCUUAGGGUUGUAAAGCUCUUUUCUCCGGGACGAUAAUGACGGUACCGGAGGAAUAAGCCCCGGCUAACUUCGUG